RNAcentral lists this long non-coding RNA (1624 nucleotides) under Anas platyrhynchos platyrhynchos (common mallard). Its description in RNAcentral is "lncRNA (ENSAPLG00000029971.1)". Lineage: Eukaryota; Metazoa; Chordata; Aves; Anseriformes; Anatidae. The record is from RNAcentral.
AGGAGCAGCGAGUGCAGGUCUGCACGUGCAGCAGGGCACGGGCUGAGCCCUGCAACUCCUGCCCCGCUCUCGGGGCACCCCCGGAUCCGCCGUCCCCUGCUCUCGCCCCGUGCCCCCCCACCAGCCCCCUUGGGACACGUCCCCAAGUCAGCCGCUGGGCACCGCAGUGGCUGAACGCCGGUGGGCUGGCGGGGUCCGGGGGCGAUGGGAGCUGCUCACACGUGUCUGAACAAGGUCCCCUGCCCGGGCAGAGUUAAUGGAUGUGCAGGAGCUGGGCCAAAAGGAGACGCAGGGCUCCGUGCUGACGCAGAGGCUCGCUCCCCAGAGCCAGCGGCAGCGAGGGAGAGGGGCAGCGGCAGCCCGACACCUCGGCACGGUACCAGCCGGAGCAGGGACUCUGCCUCCUGCCAGCACCUCUCCGGGGGGGCAGGGAGGAAGGUGCAUCCCCCCAUGGCAGCCGGCUCCCCCACGUAACGCCAGCCAAACUGGACACCGCGGUCCCGCAAGAGACCCCCCCCGGCCAGCGCCCCCCCGCCCGCUGCCUCUCACCUGGCCCAGCCUCGCCGCUCGCUGCCCUGCCCCACGCUGACCCCGUGCCCCGUCGCGAUGUCGCCACCAUCACCGACCUGUGCAGCGGCGGCGAUGUCCCCGAGGUGGAGAUCAUCAGCCUGCUGGGCGAGCAGCUGCCCCGCUACAAGCUGCGGGCGGACACCGUCUUCGGCUAUGACCACGACGACUGGCUGCGAGCCCCCCCUGCCCCCCCGGAGCCCGCAGCCCCCCUCACCCCCCAGCAGAUCUCGGAGACCCUGCAAUAUUUCCGUGAGUGCCCCUGUCCCGCGCCGUGGGGCUGGGCGAGGGCAGUGGGGCGCAGGUGAUGGGGUUCGGGCCGGGUGGGGGCUGUGGGGGCUGUGGGGGAGUUAAUCGCUGCUAACGGGAUUGCCGGCGUGGAUUUCCUCACCCAGAACAUCCUGGGCUAAUUCUGGGAGCAGCUUCUGCUGAGCCGAGCCGGACGCUCGCGGAGAGCCUCCGACAGCCCCCAGGGACCCCGGUGUGUCCCCCUUUCCCGUGCCCUGCAUCUCUCUGGGGUGGCCACCCGUGAGGGGUGUUCUGGUGGCCCCAAGUGCUGCUGUGCCCCCAAAAACAGCCUGGAGUGGCCGAGGGAGUGUGGGGCUGCUCCUGCCAGCAAAGCCCUGUGGGGUACGGGCACCUGGGGGGAGACCCCCGCAGCCCCCUGGCUGGGGAGGGGGCGAUUCCCAACCAGGGAGCUGCGAGGCCCCUUCCCAGCACGGGGUCAGGGUCUGGUGGGCACACCUGGCUCCCUCUGCCCAUAUACGAGGGGCUGGGCUGGGGGCCACCCCCUGCUUGUGGCUGACCCCAGGGUGUUCCUGCCCCCCCAGACCCCUAGCCAUGCAGUGUCUGGCACAGGAGGACCCCGUGUGUCGCCGUCCGUCCCCUCUCCGUGUCACCUCCCUCUCCGUGUCACGUUUCCCCGUGCCUUGGCACCUGGGUGACGUUUGUGCCUUAGCAGUGUGUCAGGGGCCCGUGCUCCCCCAUCCCUUCCCCCCAAAACCCUUAAGCUGCCAUCAGAAAUAGCCCCCUGUAAUCUGCUUGCGCAGAGGCGCGG